This 253-nucleotide ribosomal RNA is filed under the name uncultured bacterium. RNAcentral's name for it is "partial 16S ribosomal RNA". It matches the Rfam family "Bacterial small subunit ribosomal RNA", at positions 524 to 776 of the family's 1533-position model. The record is from RNAcentral.
UACGUAGGUGGCAAGCGUUGUUCGGAAUUACUGGGCGUAAAGGGCGCGUAGGCGGCCCGCUAAGUCGAACGUGAAAUCCCCAGGCUCAACCUGGGAACUGCGUCCGAUACUGGCAGGCUUGAAUCCGGGAGAGGGAUGUGGAAUUCCAGGUGUAGCGGUGAAAUGCGUAGAUAUCUGGAGGAACGCCGGUGGCGAAGGCGGCAGCCUGGACCGGUAUUGACGCUGAGGCGGGAAAGCUAGGGGAGCAAGCGGG